Molecule: ribosomal RNA, 438 nt
Filed under: uncultured bacterium
Lineage: Bacteria
Description: partial 16S ribosomal RNA
Rfam family: Bacterial small subunit ribosomal RNA
Source: RNAcentral
CUACGGUGGCUGCAGUGGGGAAUAUUGCACAAUGGAGGAAACUCUGAUGCAGCAACGCCGCGUGGAGGAUGACACUUUUCGGAGCGUAAACUCCUUUUAUAUAGGAAGAAGAUGACGGUACUAUAUGAAUAAGCGCCGGCUAACUCCGUGCCAGCAGCCGCGGUAAUACGGAGGGCGCAAGCGUUACUCGGAAUCACUGGGCGUAAAGAGCGUGUAGGCGGAUUAAAAAGUCAGAAGUGAAAUCCUAUAGCUUAACUAUAGAACUGCUUCUGAAACUCUUAAUCUAGAAUAUGGGAGAGGUAGAUGGAAUUUCUGGUGUAGGGGUAAAAUCCGUAGAGAUCAAAAGGAAUACCGAUUGCGAAGGCGAUCUACUAGAACAUUAUUGACGCUGAGACGCGAAAGCGUGGGGAGCAAACAGGAUUAGAUACCCGGGUAGUC